CAGCAGCCGCGGUAAUACCGGCGCCCCAAGUGGUGGUCGCGAUUAUUGGGCCUAAAGCGUUCGUAGCCUGUUUAGUAUGCUCUUGGUGAAAUCCAUGCGCUUAACGUAUGGGCGUGCCAGGAGAACUGCUAGACUAGGGACCGGGAGAAGUAAGGAGUACUGUUUGGGUAAGGGUAAAAUCUUAUAAUCCAAACAAGACUACCUGUGGCGAAGGCGCCUUACUAGAACGGGUCCGACGGUGAGGGACGAAAGCUGAGGUAGCGAACGGGAUUAGAUACCCCGGUAGUCUCAGCCGUAAACUCUGUCUGUUAGGUGUUACGCGUUGUUCGACGGCGUGUAGUGCCGAAGCGAAGGCAUUAAACAGACCGCCUGGGGAGUACGGUCGCAAGGCUGAAACUUAAAGGAAUAGGCGGGGGAGCACAACAAGGGGUGAAGCCUGCGGUUCAAUCGGAUUCGACGCCGGGAAUCUCACCAGGACUGACAGCAUUAUGAAGGUCAACCUGAAGGGCUUACCUGAAACGCUGAGAGGUGGUGCAUGGCCGCCGUCAGCUCGUGUCGUGAGAUGUCUUGUUAAGUCAAGCAACGAGCAAGACCCUCAUCAUUAGUUGCUAGUUCCUAAGUUUUUGGGAAUGCACACUAGUGGGACUGCCUGUGUAAGCAGGAGGAAGGUGAGGGCGACGUCAGGUCAGUAUGCCCCGAAUGUCUUGGGCUACACGCGGGCUGCAAUGGCUAGGGCAAUGAGCUGCAACACCGGAAGGUGAAGCCAAUCUCCUAAACCUAGUCUCAGUUCGGAUCGAGGAUUGUAACUCAUCCUCGUGAAGCCGGAAUCCCUAGUAACCGUAUUUCAUAAUGGUACGGUGAAUACGUCCCUGCCCCUUGCACAC
This 884-nucleotide ribosomal RNA is filed under the name uncultured archaeon. RNAcentral's name for it is "bacterial SSU rRNA". It matches the Rfam family "Archaeal small subunit ribosomal RNA", at positions 459 to 1344 of the family's 1478-position model. The record is from RNAcentral.